AAAGAAAGCUUACGAGUCAGAGGAUGAUACUCAUUAGUACAUUUCAAGAAUUAAAGAUAAUACGAGAAGAAAAAAGCAGACCUGCAAACCUGCUAUCCUUCUUUAUUUAUUCUGAAUUAGUUCCAGGAUUUGCAAAGACUCUUCUGUUUACUUCUCUCAUGAGAAAUGCAAGUUAAUCCAUUAAAAACAAAACAAACUAACACAAACAUUAUGGAACAGAUGACCCAUAAUAAAAAUUCUGGAAACACAGAGCACUUGUCAUGGUUUGCAGUUCAUUCCAGAACAUGACCAGCACUGGAAGAAGUAACUAUUACUUCCUUAAUUCUUAAUAUUCAGUGAACGUAUACAUUUUCUAGCCAGCUGGCCAGCAGAAUAAACAAUGUCUAAUUUUAAGGAAUUAAUCAGCUAAAUCAGUAUAAAUGAAAGAAAGAAAAAAAUAGUACAAGGAAAUGGAAACCUACAAAGCUUUUGCUGUUUAUCAUCAAAACUUUGCAACCAAGUAUAGAUAUCCCAUCCAACAGGAUCGGGCAUCUUAAUCUUCUUCUGUCAUCUCAUAAAGCUUCUUAAUAUUUUGGUCAGUCUAGGGGAAGUAGGGGUUGCCACGAUAAGACAUCUUCAGUGUCACAGCUCAUGACUGAAGUUCUUGAUUAGUACAAAAUACAGGUCAGCAGAGGAGGGAAUACAUUUACGUUCCCCUCUUCCUUCCUGCAACUAUUAAAAUUUCCACAGUGGAAGUAACCCAGCACUUGUCAGCCUAGCUGAAUUCAUGACAAUGAAGUUUUUGAUGCUAAAAUAGGGUAAACCAGACUUCCAUCAGAUUCAAACCACACUUCAGUCCUAUGCCUGACUGUGACAGGACACGUAUUAUUCUUGUCUUCCUUCCCUGUCCUCACAGGAAUAUGCACAAAGAUGAAGCAAAAUUGAAAGGUGACAAGCAUGGCUGCAGAGCACAUCACUUGUACACGCAGACUCUGAAACUCUGUCUCCAGUGAGCCUGUGUCUUCUAGAGCACUAGAAGAGUGUUCUCCUCUAGCACUCUACUGUUAUUUUGGACUCCACUUUUAUCACAAAACUUAAGAGAGUUCCAGCUUUGUAUCUCACAAACCUGACUACCCAAAAUGCAGGGCCUCAUCCAAUACCUAGGGGAGAGACACUGCCCCUGUACUCUAAGAGUUAAGUCGGGGCAAAUCGAAGCACCAUAAGCAAUCGUCACCUGUCCGCAGUUACACAAGAGCUUCUGCACACAGAGGUAUCAGUGGCCACCUGUCACUUUAUCAGUGACAAUCAAGCCACAUGCAACCUAGAAAUUCCCAGUCUAGCCCCAUUAACUCCAGGCUGCACAGGAUUCCCAGCAGAGCCUCUCACAGAAGUCCACGUCUUCAAGUCCAGGUCACGGAAACCUCCGUUCAACCUCAGCCAGCCCUUCACCUGACCAGCUCCUAAUGUGCUCCACGAGUGGCACUGGGUGUAACCGCCCAGGAAAUGCGGCACAGAGAGCAUCAGCUGCCUGCCCCAAAUUCACUCUGCAGAACUGAGCGCUGCCUUUGGGCAGAGGUCACCUGUGUCCCAGGAGCGCAGCACGCUGCUGCAGAACAGACCAGAGUGGAAGACGUGUUAGUACCACCAGCAGCCCUCAGCAGAAGCCCUCCCACGCCAGCCUUCGCACCAGGCAGCACUCCCCGCAGGGACAUCCACCCAACACUUUGGGAACAGCUGUCCACCACACCCAGAGCAUCCCCCUCCCGGCACUGCUUCCCUCUCGGGACAGGAGUGGGCGGGAAGGACGGCCUCUCACCUGGAGGAGCACGGCCAGCAGGACGCACAGGUACACCUGAGAUGCACUGCUAAACCUACAAGCAAAUAGUCAAGAGGUGAGAACCACAGAUCUGCCCAAGGGGAGGACAGGAAAAGUAAGAAUCAGCCAGCAUGGAUGAAACACCUCCCAGGAAAGGGAAUGCAACACUUGAGCUGGAACCUUUCUGAUUCUUACCCAGUGAUCACGUGGCAAUAUAGAAGAGGAUGACUGCCUGCAAUCCUGUGAGAUCUACAGCAAGAAUGAGACUACAUGGAAAGAAAGCAGCUUGCAGAAAUGGUGGAGGGGUAGUCUGCUUGAAGUCUCAAAAUUAUGUGCCCUAGCCUGCAAGGAAGUGUUCCUGCUUUGAUUUUUUAUCAUCAUUGGUUAUGGAGCGCAUGAACACAGAAGUCAAAGCUAUCCCUUUCACAUCUCACCGUAGUAAAAUGUUAAGUAGUGAGUAAGAUACAAUUGUUGUGGGUAAACACACCCUUACCCCCAUGAUAUAGGGAAGACUGCAAUAUAUUUGGUGAGUACAGUAGCCCCAGUGCAAUAAGAACUGAGAGAGCUUCUUUUAGGGAAGUUACAAUGUAUUGGUGCUUAUACAAACAUACCACACAGAAUAAACAUAGGCAGAGGAAGAAACAUCAACAACAAAACUCUCAGUGAGCCUCACUAAAGAUCCUGCAGGUGAUCCUACCUGUGAACUGAGAGAAUUCCAGCCUGCCUAAAGACACAAACCCAGAGAAAACUCAGGGAAAGAGUAACAUGGGCUGCUUAACUGAACAAAAAGCAGCAUCAAAACAAUGGCUGAUGUGGAAGAACAUGUGUAUUUUCCAGAGCUAGUUUUCAUUAAGCAGGAAAGCCAAAUAAUAAAUCAUAAUCCAGGCCACAUCCCACAGAAACAAUUCAAGAGACAAGGUGGAUAACAUACAGGUCAUGAGCAGGUGUGGAAGAUGCUGCAGAAACAGCACCAUUUCACUUCCCAUUGGGAUCUCUUCUGCAGAGGGAAAGCACUGCUGUAUAAUGGAUGGUAAGGUACAUGACACAGACUUCCAGUGCAAAGGAUUUCUGUCGUGUGACAACAGAGCCAGGGAGAUUCACAUAUGUGAGGCACAUCUCUGAAGGCUGCCAUUCAGUUACCAUUGUAGUAACUCUGCUCUAAGGUCAAUGACCAAUGCGAUUUCUGCGGGACUGCUGAUCCAACUGCCAUGCAAUACUAAGAAAAAUGAUAAGCAGGAAAAUGAGCUGGGAGAAAUACAUCUGUGUGCUGAUUGUGCAUUGGCCAGUGGAAGGUAAAUGCAAUUCACAGUAGAAAAUGCAUUAUUCUGUACAGCAACCUAUUAUGUGCCUGAAACAGCUAAAUAUCCUGAUCUCAGGAAAGAUUCAAAGAAAGCAACAUGCUUUAGAAGAGUCAAGAGCAGACCGACAACAGCAGGCAGAAUUUCAGUAUUGAUGUAUGCAGUGUACUAAAGCAAGGUUACCUGGGUGCCAACAUUUCCCUGAAGGUUAUAGACAUGAUGACUUAAUUGUCUCUCUAGAUCUACUGCAACAGCAUUGGGCCAUUUCUCCUGAUAAGUUGGCUCCUUCCAUUCUCCUGGAAAGCUGGCUGCUUUUUAUUGCUAUGGAGUUGACCAAACAGGAUGUGCCUGACAGUACCAACACAAUACGUGUCCAGGAGCAACAUGAUAAGGGCUGCUCUGCUAAGGAGGGCAGGCAGGAAGCUGAGUGUGACCUCAACAUAGGCAGAACAGCACCUUUACCCACAUGGUCUCAAAGGAGCAGGGCAGAGCAAUGACAGUCCACUGGCUGUCCUAAACAAGAUGAAGGGAAGUCCAAGAGCUUAAUCAGAAGCUCUAAGAGAUGGGGUCAGAGCUCGGGCAAAGCUGGUUACAACAGGUCUGGAAAACCAGCCAGUAAGGCAGGAUAAGGCAGAGGUACAGCUCAGUCUAGAUCUGGGCAUCUGUGCCCUGAGCUUACCUUGGGGUCUGUGGUAGACAGCCUAACAAAGGCUGUGUGAGAUGCUGGCACUCAGUUUAUUGUAUGGUAUCUUGGGGGAAUGCCAGAACAUCCUUGUCAUAUGUGAAGAUGAAGAGAUUAUUGUACAUCUUAUCCAGCUCUGUACCAAAAUAUUUCAAGAAGGUGAAAGCCCUUCAAGACUAAGAUGAAGUUAGGUAGUAACCCCUUUGUGCCAUCUGUGAGACUAAUGAAGCUGAGAGUUUUGCUGGCCUUGGCUAUAAAGCCAGAAAAUAAUGAAGAACAUCUAUAGAUGUUUUCUGACAACAUGAAGAGAAAAAGACAGUGGCAAGAAGAUUCCUGGCUGUAUGACAAAAAUGAAGUAUCCAGUCUGUUGCAAUUCAUGUUCAUACACAGCAUUAAAAUUAUAAUUUCUGCAAAUGGUUGGACUAUUAGAAACUGAGAUACAUUAAGGAUGUGAUGGAAAUCAAGAACCUUAUGAGAAGAUGCAAGAAUCAGACCUCACACUCGGUUUCAAGUGCAAAUCUAGGUCUAUAAUUAAAUCAAAUAUACUUCAUGUCAUCAGUACAGACCUAAGUCUGCCUUCACUGUGGGCAAUGGGAGACACACAGUUACCAGCCUGAGGCUGCCACCAUGAUUCACAUGUACCAUCACAGUGACCCUGCAUGAACAGUGUUGGGCAGAAAAGACCUCUGUUUGGUCCUCACAGUGCCACACACCACAAGGGUCCCUGGUAACUGUGAUCAGAGAAAUCAUAGUGUGAUGGUGGACAUGGAACAGGGUGAAAGGAAUGCACCACUUUGCAAAAACCUUUCAGUUUUUGCUCAUUUCCCAAAACAGAAUAUACCACCAAAGGGAAUGCAAGAGAACCAGCAGACAGCACACCUAAAGAGACAAGAGCCAUGUCCAGAAAUGGGUGCACUUGUAAGUAGCCUCUGCCAUCAGCUUACUUGGUUGGGAGUUGGGGAGAAAAAGCUGUGGGAGCAGCAAGAAGGAUCAGCUAAAUGGAUGCAGCAAGAGGAAGGAAAACAUCCAUAUGAGAACAGGAAUAGUGCAAACAAUGAGUAGGAGAGAGAUCCAAAGUCUGGCAGAUUUGAAAGGCAGCAAUAAAUGUUCUUCUAGAUGGGUCUGUGUGUUGGUAACUGCAGGGUUUGGCAAGGCAGCAAACAUUCAAACAAAACAGACCAACAAAAGCAGCUAAAAAGCAAGAAACAGCAAGUUGUGUGGGCCGUGGAGCUGUGAGUGCAGGCUUGGAGCAGGCUGGGCGUUGGAGAAUUCACUAGGAGGUCUGUCCAGCCAGAUGCAGACACAAUGACUGUUGUUGCUGCAAUGCCUCUAAAACAGCUGGUGUUGGUGAAGCACAGGUUUAGUCUUAGAAACAUUGCACUUUUCUUUGCUGUGGUUCCUACUAAGCAGUGCAUGAAGCCAUAUCUAAAGCUACAGUCCAAGCUGAACACACUGCCAGUGCCCCAGAGACAUUUAAGGCUCUUUUCCUGCCUUGUAGGAAAAGACUCCAUCAGCUCCAGAAGAGCGCAUGUGUCUAGAAGAACCCCAGGUCCAAACCAUACCAGGAUCCCUGAUUUUCCAAUUGUUUUGGUGGUUAGGCUGCUGAGGGUGAGCAAAGAGUGUGAUAAGACACAGUGGAACAUCUGACAUGAAGCCCGUCUCCAAUUCUUUCAAAACAAAUAGCAUGCAAAAAAGGAGCAGGUUUUUACCAGCCUUGGUUUGCAGCCAAUAUGGGCACAUGGUUAGCUUUAGCAGGACUGGACAGCAUAUGGCACAGCGACCUGGCUUGUUGUGAAUAAUGGAGUAUAAUAAAACCUGUCAAACUGCUAUUGGCAGCUAGGGUGAGGAAAAGUCUCAGUGCACAAACAAUUUGAGAAAACCUACUUGUCACUGCCAUGCAAAAUAUUUUAUGGCAGUAAAUAUACAUCAUAAAGCGCCUCUCAGACCUGGGUGUUUUAUCCUCAGUCCCUGAAGUUCUGCAGGAAUCCAGCACAACCGUGGGCAUAGCAAAGUGAGGAAUGCUAACAGCUGGGAGAAACAAAAAGCAGGUGCACAAGAAGGUGAAGAAGAUAAAGAGCCAAGGUCUAGAAGCAAGAACAGCACGAGGAGUUAGAAGCGGCAGUAGGAACACAGAGGAGUGUUAUGGCCACCAGCAAGUGUGUUGGCUGAGAAACACAAGGGGGCUGCCUGUUGGCCAGGAUGGCAGAGAAGGAAAUGGUGUGUACUCAAGGCAGGCAAAGGGAGGAGGAGGCAGGAUCCUGUUGGAGAGGGCAGCACUGUCUGGCUCUAGGUUGGAGAAGGACUUUGUGGCUGAUGGGAGGGCUGCAUUUUGUGUGCUAAAGCUUGAAGCCAAGGAAUCAACAGGGGAAUUUCUUUGUUGUUCCAUCCACACAACAAGAAGGGAAAUGUGGGAUGGGGAAAACGCAGCUCUUUACCUAUAAAUGUUCAGCCAGUGCCUCGCCCCCACAGCAUCUCUGCAGAGCAUGUGGGGCCAUGAGCUAGGCUUGCAAGGACAAAUCCAGGUGACAUGCAAGGACUCCAAGCCCCAAUUCCAUCCCCGACCUUGGAGGACUGAACAGAAUUCUGCCAGAGCAAUGCAGGUCAGAAUUAACCUUGAAUUUUUGUGUCUUGAGUCAUCAGCCUGAGCUUAAUUUUAGGCUGCAUCUCUGGAGAAAAGUGAGUAUUGCAAGGCUUAAGGGCAGCUCAGUCUGGGCUUCUUUGUGCCCUGCAGUGCUGUUCUCCCUCUAGCCUUGGAUUUGUCUGGUUUCUGGAAUUGUACUGCUCUGCAAGAGCAUAAUGGGGAAGUAGAAGCACUGCUUAGUCAUUAUAUCCUGCCAUUUCAAGAAUCAGUCUUGCUUUGUUUGUUUGUUUUUUUAAAAGAAAACACUAAAAGUAAUUCCCUUAUAGACUUAAAUUCCUUAAAAUAUUGCUACUGCUGCUUGGGGUGCCUUGUUUGUAGUAUCAAUGGCCUGCCUUCGCUGCACUAAAUGCACUUACGUGGGAGCAAUAGCAACAAUCUGGAAUCCAGAAAGUCUACAAACAGGCAGGCCUGUUUUAAUUAGUUGAGUACAGAGACUAAUUAAUAUGCAAAUGAGGAGCUUACCAAUAUUAAUCAUCUGUUUUACUAGGCUGCUUUACCAAAGAGUUCUAACGAAUUUGCAGAUGAAGUUUCCAUGACAUUAAAAAUCAGCUAAACGCUUACCUGAGAAAUAGUCUCCCACAAUAAAGGGGAAAGAGAGAAGGGGAAAGUGAUGCUUUGGUUUUUUGGAAGGAAAACUUCAAUGACUGAAACUAAUUUUGUCUUUGGCAAGUGUCACAUAGGCUGACUGAGUCAACUGCUUCCAAACCCUAAUUGAAAGCAUUUCAGCAAGCGAGACACCAAAAGGCGCUUGGACAGUAGCAGCACACACAUGUCCAUGUGUGCAUAUUUCCUUCUGAGAAUUGACUAAAAAAUUGCAUGAUUGACUAAAAAAUUACUGUCUACCUUUGACAUCUCUCAAUAGCUGUCAACACUGUGGAGCAUAACCCCAAAGUAAGAUCACACUGGGUUGUACCUUCUGUGUAUUUUCCUAUCUCUGUUCUUGUUACCAACGCCUUAGAACAUGGUAACUGAAAUCCUGCCCCUGAGCUACACCACUCUUUCCUCUGUUACCUUUACAUUUUGCACUUCACUGAGCUUCUGGGUGGGUUUGGUGGAGCUUCUUGUCAAAUUCACUCUCUGAUUUUCAUACUUUAGUUCAAUGCAAUUGCAUAUGGGUUCCCCUCACUGCC
Molecule: long non-coding RNA, 7546 nt
Organism: Motacilla alba alba
Lineage: Eukaryota; Metazoa; Chordata; Aves; Passeriformes; Motacillidae
Exons: 3
Source: RefSeq, a predicted model, not a curated record